This 643-nucleotide ribosomal RNA is filed under the name uncultured Actinomycetes bacterium. RNAcentral describes it as "bacterial SSU rRNA". It matches the Rfam family "Bacterial small subunit ribosomal RNA", at positions 232 to 885 of the family's 1533-position model. Lineage: Bacteria; Bacillati; Actinomycetota; Actinomycetes. The record is from RNAcentral.
CGCGGCCUAUCAGCUUGUUGGUGAGGUAACGGCUCACCAAGGCGACGACGGGUAGCCGGCCUGAGAGGGCGACCGGCCACACUGGGACUGAGACACGGCCCAGACUCCUACGGGAGGCAGCAGUGGGGAAUAUUGCACAAUGGGCGAAAGCCUGAUGCAGCGACGCCGCGUGAGGGAUGACGGCCUUCGGGUUGUAAGCCUCUUUCAGCAGGGAAGAAGCGAGAGUGACGGUACCUGCAGAAGAAGCGCCGGCUAACUACGUGCCAGCAACCGCGGUAAUACGUAGGGCGCAAGCGUUGUCCGGAAUUAUUGGGCGUAAAGAGCUCGUAGGCGGCUUGUCACGUCGGUUGUGAAAGCCCGGGGCUUAACCCCGGGUCUGCAGUCGAUACGGGCAGGCUAGAGUUCGGUAGGGGAGAUCGGAAUUCCUGGUGUAGCGGUGAAAUGCGCAGAUAUCAGGAGGAACACCGGUGGCGAAGGCGGAUCUCUGGGCCGAUACUGACGCUGAGGAGCGAAAGCGUGGGGAGCGAACAGGAUUAGAUACCCUGGUAGUCCACGCCGUAAACGGUGGGCACUAGGUGUGGGCAACAUUCCACGUUGUCCGUGCCGCAGCUAACGCAUUAAGUGCCCCGCCUGGGGAGUACGG